GAGCAUGUGGUUUAAUUCGAUGCAACGCGAAGAACCUUACCAAGGCUUGACAUAUACCGGAAACGUUCAGAAAUGUUCGCCCCGCAAGGUCGGUAUACAGGUGGUGCAUGGUUGUCGUCAGCUCGUGUCGUGAGAUGUUGGGUUAAGUCCCGCAACGAGCGCAACCCUCGUCGUAUGUUGCCAGCACGUAAUGGUGGGAACUCAUAUGAGACUGCCGGGGUCAACUCGGAGGAAGGUGGGGAUGACGUCAAAUCAUCAUGCCCCUUAUGUCUUGGGCUUCACGCAUGCUACAAUGGCUGGUACAAUGGGCUGCAAUACCGCGAGGUGGAGCGAAUCCCAAAAAGCCAGUCUCAGUUCGGAUUGGGGUCUGCAACUCGACCCCANGAAGUCGGAGUCGC
This 398-nucleotide ribosomal RNA is filed under the name Pseudoclavibacter sp. AZTITEMP159. Its description in RNAcentral is "bacterial SSU rRNA". It matches the Rfam family "Bacterial small subunit ribosomal RNA", at positions 935 to 1335 of the family's 1533-position model. The record is from RNAcentral. Lineage: Bacteria; Bacillati; Actinomycetota; Actinomycetes; Micrococcales; Microbacteriaceae.